CGCCCCCUGCGACGUUGGCCAGCAAGCCCAGAAGUCCUUGAGCCUAUACUGCAACAGCAGCAGGAACCGACCAGUAGGCGAUGUUGUGCAUGGCCGCGUGAAAAGCGGUAAGCCUGAUUCGCCUCGCGACGUUCCCUCUUGAACCGUUGGUUCAAGACGAAGGCUUGCAGCGGCGUCGCGGGGAGCGC
This 188-nucleotide non-coding RNA is filed under the name Gammaproteobacteria bacterium. Its description in RNAcentral is "6S RNA". It matches the Rfam family "6S / SsrS RNA". Rfam says of the family: E. coli 6S RNA was the first non coding RNA to be sequenced, but its function was unknown until recently. It consists of 184 nucleotides that fold into an extended hairpin structure with a large single-stranded internal bulge. The 6S RNA specifically associates with RNA polymerase holoenzyme containing the sigma70 specificity factor. RNAcentral also lists the same sequence under 1 other name. The record is from RNAcentral. Lineage: Bacteria; Pseudomonadati; Pseudomonadota; Gammaproteobacteria.